This 254-nucleotide ribosomal RNA is filed under the name uncultured bacterium. RNAcentral describes it as "partial 16S ribosomal RNA". It matches the Rfam family "Bacterial small subunit ribosomal RNA", at positions 524 to 776 of the family's 1533-position model. The record is from RNAcentral.
UACGAAGGGGGCUAGCGUUGUUCGGAAUUACUGGGCGUAAAGCGCGCGUAGGCGGUGAUCUUUGUCAGAGGUGAAAGCCCGGGGGCUCAACUCCGGAAUUGCCUUUGAAACGGGAUCGCUUGAGUCCGAGAGAGGAUGGCGGAAUUCCUAGUGUAGAGGUGAAAUUCGUAGAUAUUAGGAAGAACACCGGUGGCGAAGGCGGCCAUCUGGCUCGGUACUGACGCUCAGGCGCGAAAGCGUGGGGAGCGAACAGG